AGUGAACGCUGGCGGUAGGCCUAACACAUGCAAGUCGAACGGCAGCACAGUAAGAGCUUGCUCUUACGGGUGGCGAGUGGCGGACGGGUGAGGAAUACAUCGGAAUCUACUUUUUCGUGGGGGAUAACGUAGGGAAACUUACGCUAAUACCGCAUACGACCUACGGGUGAAAGCAGGGGAUCUUCGGACCUUGCGCGAUUGAAUGAGCCGAUGUUGGAUUAGCUAGUUGGCGGGGUAAAGGCCCACCAAGGCGACGAUCCGUAGCUGGUCUGAGAGGAUGAUCAGCCACACUGGAACUGAGACACGGUCCAGACUCCUACGGUAGGCAGCAGUGGGGAAUAUUGGACAAUGGGCGCAAGCCUGAUCCAGCCAUACCGCGUGGGUGAAGAAGGCCUUCGGGUUGUAAAGCCCUUUUGUUGGGAAAGAAAAGCAGCAGGUUGAUACCCCGCUGUUCUGACGGUACCCAAAGAAUAAGCACCGGCUAACUUCGUG
This 492-nucleotide ribosomal RNA is filed under the name uncultured bacterium. Its description in RNAcentral is "partial 16S ribosomal RNA". It matches the Rfam family "Bacterial small subunit ribosomal RNA", at positions 29 to 507 of the family's 1533-position model. The record is from RNAcentral.